GACGAACGCUGGCGGCGUGCUUAACACAUGCAAGUCGAACGGAAAGGCCCUGCUUUUGUGGGGUGCUCGAGUGGCGAACGGGUGAGUAACACGUGAGUAACCUGCCCUUGACUUUGGGAUAACUUCAGGAAACUGGGGCUAAUACCGGAUAGGAGCUCCUGCUGCAUGGUGGGGGUUGGAAAGUUUCGGCGGUUGGGGAUGGACUCGCGGCUGAUCAGCUUGUUGGUGGGGUAGUGGCUUACCAAGGCUAUGACGGGUAGCCGGCCUGAGAGGAUGAGCGGGCAGAUUGGGACUGAGACACGGCCCAAACUCCUACGGGAGGCAGCAGGGGGGAAGCUUGCGCAAGGGGCGAAAGCCUGACGCAGCCAUGCUGAGUGAAGGAUGAAGGUCGGAGGAGGGGAAAAGGCUUGCACCGGGGACGAGAAGGAAGGGACCCGGAGAAGAAGCCCCGGCUAACUUCGUG
Molecule: ribosomal RNA, 463 nt
Filed under: uncultured bacterium
Lineage: Bacteria
Description: partial 16S ribosomal RNA
Rfam family: Bacterial small subunit ribosomal RNA
Source: RNAcentral